UAAUACAGAGGUCUCAAGCGUUGUUCGGAUUCAUUGGGCGUAAAGGGUGCGUAGGCGGCGCGGUAAGUCGGGUGUGAAAUCUCGGAGCUUAACUCCGAAACUGCAUUCGAUACUGCCGUGCUUGAGGACUGGAGAGGAGACUGGAAUUUACGGUGUAGCGGUGAAAUGCGUAGAUAUCGUAAGGAAGACCAGUGGCGAAGGCGGGUCUCUGGACAGUUCCUGACGCUGAGGCACGAAGGCCAGGGGAGCAAACGGGAUUAGAUACCCCGGUAGUCCUGGCAGUAAACGGUGCACGUUUGGUGUGGGAGGAUUCGACCCCUUCUGCGCCGGAGCUAACGCGUUAAACGUGCCGCCUGGGGAGUACGGUCGCAAGAUU
Molecule: ribosomal RNA, 376 nt
Filed under: uncultured bacterium
Lineage: Bacteria
Description: bacterial SSU rRNA
Rfam family: Bacterial small subunit ribosomal RNA
Source: RNAcentral